Molecule: transfer RNA, 77 nt
Filed under: Fusobacterium necrophorum subsp. funduliforme
Lineage: Bacteria; Fusobacteriati; Fusobacteriota; Fusobacteriia; Fusobacteriales; Fusobacteriaceae
Description: tRNA-Arg(cct)
Rfam family: tRNA
About the family: Transfer RNA (tRNA) molecules are approximately 80 nucleotides in length. Their secondary structure includes four short double-helical elements and three loops (D, anti-codon, and T loops).
Source: RNAcentral
GUUCCCGUAGCUCACUCGGAUAGAGCGGACCCCUCCUAAGGGGUAGGUAGUAGGUUCAAAUCCUAUCGGGAACGCCA